Myotis brandtii (Brandt's bat) is the source of this 1810-nucleotide long non-coding RNA. RefSeq lists it as uncharacterized. The transcript has 3 exons. Lineage: Eukaryota; Metazoa; Chordata; Mammalia; Chiroptera; Vespertilionidae. The record is from RefSeq and is a predicted model, not a curated record.
CAAUAACAUAAAAAAAGAGAGAGAGAGUGAAAUGAAUGGAAAGGUAGAACUUAUCUGUAAAAAAACAUAUAUAAGCUAUAAGAAAGAACCAUGGAGGUAUUGUGGAAUGGGGAAUUAUUUAAUGGAUAUAGUUUCAUUUUUGCAAGAUGAAAAGAGUUCUGAAGAUUGGUUGCACUCAAUAUGAAGGUAUUUAACACUACUGAACUGUACACUUAAAAAUGAUUAUAAUGGUAAAUUUUGUGUAUUUUAUCACAUUUUUUAAAAAAGGAAUAAAGUAAAUUGAUAUGUACUUAUCUGGGAAUAUAUCCAUAAUGCAUUUCUAAGUAAAAAUAAAGCAUGUUUUAGAGUGGGGGGGAAAAACAAAUUGAUAUGUAAGAACUGAAAACUGCAAUAAUUGCAAUAAAAAAAUUCACUAGAUGGGCACAAUUACAGAAUGGAGAUGACAGAGGAAAGAGUCAUUGAACUUUAAGAUCAAUAUCAAAAUCAAUAUAUAUUACCCAUUCGAAUAACAGAGAAGAACAACUGAAAAAAGUUAUCAGAGCCUCAUGUACCUGUGGAACAAUUUCAAAGGAAUAAAAUGCAUGUCUUUGGAGCCCCAGAAAAAGAGGAGACAUUGGUACAGCUAACUAUUGAAAGAAAUAAAGGAUGAAUUGGCAAAGGCAUGGCUGUAAUGAUUCAAGAAGCUUAGUAGAUCCCAAACAAGAUAAACUAAAAUAAGCAAACAAUCAAAAAGCUGUCCAGAUGCAUUAUAACCAAACAGCUGAAAAUUAAAAAUUUUUGAGAGAAAAAUGUUGCAUUACAUAUAAAGGCAAAAUGAUUCCAAUGAUUAUGAAUUUCUUAUCAUAGAGGCCAUAAGGCAGUUGAACAAAGAAAUAUCAACCUGGAAUUCUAUAUUCUGUUAAAUAUCUUUCAGGAAUGAAGGCAUUCUCAGAUGAAGGGAAAAUAAGAGAAUAUGUUGCCAAUGCACAUGCUUAAAAAAAAAAGAAAAAGAAGCUAAAAAACAAGUUGUUCAGAUAGAAGGGAAAUGACACCAGAGGGACACCUGAAACUUCAGAAAUGAAGAAAGAGCAAAAGAAAUAACAAAUAUAUGGGAACAUCAUGAGAAGCCAGAGUUCUUUGGAGAAGACAACAGUGCUGAGGAAAACAAGGCAGCAGGACAAGAGGAAGACCACACAUGACAUAAGAAGCCACAGGCACGAGUCUACAGGAGCUGAGACUCAUUCACAGGGUCACCAGGAGUCGGAGCUGGUUCAGCAGCACGUAGCACACGGCUGCCACAUAAACGAGUGCGUGGGACCUCGUGGCUUAGCCUCAAGGAGUGUUCUGAGUGUCACUCUGAGGCAAGGAUUUUCCUCCCCAUCACUGUCAUGGGCAGCAGCAACCACCACAGGGUAAAUCGUGGAUUUAGGCAAGAAGGUAUCUAAAUGCUCAGCCAUCAACUUCACCCUACGGCUGGCUCUCCUCCGGUGACAGGAUGAUUGCUGAUUGUCCAGAGGCCGUUUGGUUCUCAUCCACAUCCAAGUAAAGAGACAGCUCUUCCCAGAGUAGCCAUGCACACAGUAACAUGCAUGACAAAAGAAUACUGAGCUCCUGACGCCAAAUGCCUGCAUUCAGGUCCCUUCCCAGUUUUCUCCCAGGCUGUUGAGAGGGCAUUUGCUUGACGUGUCUGCACUGAAGAGCCUGCUCCAGGAGUUCUCAAGAAGGCCCAGUUUCGGCCCCAAAGGGGAAUCCACGUCUCCCAACUUCUGGGAGAAAUAAAAUUGGUAUAGUUUUCAAAACGCUCCCAAAGUCUCCCUGACUCCUUUUCCAC